RNAcentral lists this ribosomal RNA (658 nucleotides) under uncultured bacterium. RNAcentral's name for it is "bacterial SSU rRNA". It matches the Rfam family "Bacterial small subunit ribosomal RNA", at positions 92 to 749 of the family's 1533-position model. The record is from RNAcentral.
AUAGUGGCGCACGGGUGCGUAACACGUAUGCAACCUACCUUAUACUGGGGGAUAGCCUUUGGAAACGGAGAUUAAUACCCCAUAGUACAUUUGAUUGGCAUCAAUUAAAUGUUAAAGAUUUAUCGGUAUAAGCUGGGCAUGCGUCCAAUUAGUUAGUUGGUGAGGUAAUGGCUCACCAAGACUUUGAUUGGUAGGGGAACUGAGAGGUUAAUCCCCCACACUGGCACUGAGAUACGGGCCAGACUCCUACGGGAGGCAGCAGUAGGGAAUAUUGGGCAAUGGAGGCAACUCUGACCCAGCCAUGCCGCGUGCAGGAAGAAGGCGUUAUGCGUUGUAAACUGCUUUUAUAUAGGAAGAAAUAGUCCUUGCGAGGAAAGUUGACGGUACUAUAUGAAUAAGCACCGGCUAACUCCGUGCCAGCAGCCGCGGUAAUACGGAGGGUGCAAGCGUUGUCCGGAUUUAUUGGGUUUAAAGGGUGCGUAGGCGGUUUAUUAAGUCAGUGGUGAAAGACGGUCGCUCAACGAUUGCAGUGCCAUUGAUACUGGUAGACUUGAGUGGGAUUGAGGUAGCUGGAAUGGAUAGUGUAGCGGUGAAAUGCAUAGAUAUUAUCCAGAACACCAAUUGCGUAGGCAAGUUACUAAGUCUCAACUGACGCUGA